This 479-nucleotide ribosomal RNA is filed under the name uncultured bacterium. RNAcentral describes it as "partial 16S ribosomal RNA". It matches the Rfam family "Bacterial small subunit ribosomal RNA", at positions 28 to 523 of the family's 1533-position model. The record is from RNAcentral.
GACGAACGCUGGCGGCGUGCUUAACACAUGCAAGUCGAGCGAUGAAGCACCUUCGGGUGUGAAUUAGCGGCGAACGGGUGAGGAACACGUGAGAAAUCUGCCUCCAACACUGGGAUAACUCCGGGAAACCGGGGCUAAUACCGGAUAUGAAACCUGCGGGCAUCCGCGGGUUUGGAAAGUUUUUCGGUUGAUGAUGAUCUCGCGGCCUAUCAGCUUGUUGGUGAGGUAAUGGCUCACCAAGGCGACGACGGGUAGCCGGCCUGAGAGGGCGACCGGCCACACUGGGACUGAGACACGGCCCAGACUCCUACGGGAGGCAGCAGUGGGGAAUAUUGGGCAAUGGAGGAAACUCUGACCCAGCGACGCCGCGUGCGGGAUGAAGGCCUUCGGGUUGUAAACCGCUUUCAGCAGGGAAGAAGCGAAAGUGACGGUACCUGCAGAAGAAGCACCGGCUAACUAUGUGCCAGCCGCCGCGGUAA